This 596-nucleotide ribosomal RNA is filed under the name Aspergillus flavus. Its description in RNAcentral is "eukaryotic LSU rRNA". The stretch from base 224 to 377 matches the Rfam family "5.8S ribosomal RNA". Lineage: Eukaryota; Fungi; Ascomycota; Eurotiomycetes; Eurotiales; Aspergillaceae. The record is from RNAcentral.
GUAACAAGGUUUCCGUAGGUGAACCUGCGGAAGGAUCAUUACCGAGUGUAGGGUUCCUAGCGAGCCCAACCUCCCACCCGUGUUUACUGUACCUUAGUUGCUUCGGCGGGCCCGCCAUUCAUGGCCGCCGGGGGCUCUCAGCCCCGGGCCCGCGCCCGCCGGAGACACCACGAACUCUGUCUGAUCUAGUGAAGUCUGAGUUGAUUGUAUCGCAAUCAGUUAAAACUUUCAACAAUGGAUCUCUUGGUUCCGGCAUCGAUGAAGAACGCAGCGAAAUGCGAUAACUAGUGUGAAUUGCAGAAUUCCGUGAAUCAUCGAGUCUUUGAACGCACAUUGCGCCCCCUGGUAUUCCGGGGGGCAUGCCUGUCCGAGCGUCAUUGCUGCCCAUCAAGCACGGCUUGUGUGUUGGGUCGUCGUCCCCUCUCCGGGGGGGACGGGCCCCAAAGGCAGCGGCGGCACCGCGUCCGAUCCUCGAGCGUAUGGGGCUUUGUCACCCGCUCUGUAGGCCCGGCCGGCGCUUGCCGAACGCAAAUCAAUCUUUUUCCAGGUUGACCUCGGAUCAGGUAGGGAUACCCGCUGAACUUAAGCAUAUCAUA